Molecule: transfer RNA, 61 nt
Filed under: Rhipicephalus simus
Lineage: Eukaryota; Metazoa; Arthropoda; Arachnida; Ixodida; Ixodidae
Description: tRNA-Glu
Source: RNAcentral
AUUUAAAUAGUGUAAUUCAACACUUAACUUUUUCAUUGUUAAAAUCCUCCUGGUUUAAAUU